Nematostella vectensis (starlet sea anemone) is the source of this 71-nucleotide non-coding RNA. Lineage: Eukaryota; Metazoa; Cnidaria; Anthozoa; Actiniaria; Edwardsiidae. The record is from Rfam.
GGUCCCAUGGUGUAAUGGUUAGCACUCUGGACUUUGAAUCCUGUUAUCCGAGUUCAAAUCUCGUCGGUACG